This 6446-nucleotide long non-coding RNA is filed under the name Homo sapiens (human). RNAcentral describes it as "long intergenic non-protein coding RNA 662". Lineage: Eukaryota; Metazoa; Chordata; Mammalia; Primates; Hominidae. The record is from RNAcentral.
GACACCACCCCAGCCAGCAUGGCCGGCAGGAGCGCACCGCGCUGUCUCCCUCCAGGGAUCCGCACCGCCCUACAAUCCUGCUUUGUGCUGAGAUUGUAGUCCUGCAGGCGUACAACUAACAAGCUGGGUGCAGAUAAGAGACUACAGCUCCCCGCAUCCCAAGCAAAGGUCCCUCCUCUACGGAGCCCCUCCACGCGUCCACUGCGGUUCCGCCGUGCCAAGGGGAGCUUGGCUGUUCACGGGCCUCACCUGCUAGCGAGAAGAUAGCUUGGCCGGGCGGCUGAUCUCACCUUGUAAUUCUGACACUGUGUCUCCCGGGCUUGUCGGCUUCAUGACUUGUGCCCAAAGUUUGAUUUCUCGCAGACCAGGAGGACCCAUUGGACCCCCGGGCUGGCUGCAGGGCCCACACCUGGGUUAGACCUCGCACAGGGACGCUGCUGCCACUGUAAUAAAGCGUGCCUACACGCUUCUGAAACUGGUGUAGGAACAACCUCAGUUCUGUGAAAGGCGGACGCAGCAGGACAGAAUCUCCGUGGACAUCUGUCUGGAGGAGCAAUUUUACUGCGACAUUUUAAAGAAACAAAUUUAAUUGAUUUCCAAGGGUGUCCAUCGCGCUUCCUUCACUGCCUUGAUCAUGUCGGGGUCACCACCUGCGGGGGUUUGUCCUGCAGACCCUGACUCAACGACGGAUGAAUAAUGUACACUGACACAGAUCUUAUGCUUGUCAGUCCUGCUGAGCAUCCAGGCCACUUACAGACUCCAAGAAGAGUCCUGUCAGCCACGGCUCUGACUUGUUGGCCCUCCCGGCAUUUAUUUAGCACACAUUUAAUGACAGAAGUCUCAGGCUGGAAACACUCUUUUUGUAGAACAUACAAAUGGACAUUUCUAAGCACAUUGAGGCCUAUAAUGAAAAAUCAAAUAUCCCACAAUGAAAACUAGAAGGAAGCUAUCUGUGAUAAUGCUUUGUGGUGUAUGGAUUCAUCUCACUGACUGAAACCUGAGUUUUGAUUCACCAGGUUGGAAACACUCUUUUUGUAGAAUGUAUGAAGAGAUAUUUCUGAGGCCUGUUGUGAAAAACUGAGGUUUCCACAAGAAAAACUGGAAACAAGUUAUCUGAGAAAAUGCUUUAUGAUGGGUGAAUUCAUCUCACAAAAUUAAACCUUCGUUUUGAUUCAAAAGGUUGCAAACACUCUUUUUGCAGAAUCUAUGAAGGAACAUUUCUGAACCAAUUUUGGCCUAUAGUGGAAAACUGAACAUUCUGUGAUAUAAACUAGAGAAAAGAUAUCUGUGAAAAUGCUUUGCAAUGUGUGGAUUCAUCUCACUGGAUGGAACCUAUGCUUUGAUUUAGUAGGUUGGAAAUACUCAUUUUGUAGAAUCUACAAAGGAUAUUUCUGAGCCCCUUUGAGCCUGUAGUGAAAAAUCAAGGAUCCCAUGAAGAAAAACAGAAAAACACUAUCUGUCAAAAUGCUUAUUGGUGUGUGGAUUCUUCUUACCAAAUGGAACCUGUGUUUUGAUUCACCAGGUUGGAAACACUUUUUUGUAGAGUCUAUGAAGGGACAUUUCUCAGCCCAUUGAGGCCUAUAGUGAUGAACAAAAUAUCCCAUAAUAGAAGCUAGAAAAAAGCUAUUUCCAAAAAUGCUUUGCAAUGUGUGGAUUUAUCUUACAGAAUUAAACCUUUAUUUUGAUUUGACAGUCUGCAAACACUUUUUUUUGUAGAAAGUACAGAGGGACAUUUCUGAGACCAUCAAGAACUAUAGUAAAAAAAUCAAACAACCUGCCUUAAUAUUUAGAAACAAGCUAUCUGUUAAAAUGCUUUAGAAUAUUUUCAUUCAUGUCACAGAUUUCAACCUUUUUUUUGAUUCAACAAGAUAAAAACACUCUUUUAGUUGAAUCUACAAAAAGAUAUUUCAAAGUCCGUUGAGGCCUAUAGUGAAAAACUGAAUAUCCCAUGAUAAAAACUAGAAGUGAGCCCUGUGUGAAAAUGCUUUGUGAUGUGUGGAUUCAUCUCACAGAGUUAAACUUAUAUUUUUAUUCAACACCUUGGAAACACUCUUUUUGUAGCAUCUAUGAAGGGACAUUCUGAGGCCAUUGAGGCCUAUAGUGAAAAGCAGAAUAUCCUUCCUUAAAAUCUAGAAACAAUCUAUCUGUGAAGAUGAUUUAUGAUGUGAGCAUUUAUCUCACAGAUUUAAAACUAUGUUUUAAUUCAACAGGUAGGAAAAAGUCUUUUUGUAGAAUCUAUGAAAGGACACUUCUGAGCCCACGGAGACCUAUAGUGAAAAACUGAAUAUCCAGCAUUAAAAACUAGAAACAAGCUAUAUGUAAAAAUGUUUUGUGAUGUGUGGAUUCAUCUCUCCCAAUGGAACCUGUGUUUUGAUUCUCCAGGUUGGAAACACUUUUUGUGAAAUCUAUGAAGCGACAUUUCUGAGCCCAUUGAGGCAUAUUGUAAAAUUUGAAUAUUCCACGAUAAGAACUAGAAACAAGCUAUCUCUGAAAAUCCUUUUCAAUGUGUGGCUUCUCCUCACAGAGUUAAAUCUUUGUUUCAAUUCAACACCUUGAAAACACUUUUUUGGUAGAAUCUACGAAGGGACAUUUCUGACCCAUUGAGGCCUACAGUAAAAAAUGUAGGGACAUUUCUGAGCCCAUUGAAGCCUAUAGUUAAAAAACUAAUUUCUGGUGAUAAAAUCUAGAAACAAGCCAUCUGUGAAAAUGCUUUGUGAUGUAUGGAUUUAUCUCAAAAAGUUAAAACUAUGUUUUUAACCAACAGGUUGAAAUCACUCUUUUUGUAGAAUCUAUGAAAAGACGUUUCUGAGCCCACUGAGGCCUGUAGAGAAAAACUGUAUAUCCUGCAAUAAAAGCUAGAAGAAAAGCUCUCCGUGUAAAUGGUUCCCGAUGUGUGGGUUAAUCUCACAGAGUUAAACAUUUGUUUUUAUUUAACAGGUUAGAAACGUUCUUUUUGUAGAAUCUACGAAGGAAUAUUUCUGAGCCCAUUGAGGCCUAUAGCAAGAAGCCAUAUAUCCGUCAAUAAAAACUGGAAACAAGCUAUCUGUGAACAUUUUUUGUGAUGUAUGCAUUUAUCUCACCAAAUGGAACCUGUGUUUUGAUUCACCAGUUUGGAAACACUCUUUUGUGGAAUGCAUGAAGGGACAUUUCUUAGCCAAUUGAGGUGUAUAGUGAUAUACCAAAUAUCCCGGGAUAGAAACUAGAAACAAGUUAUCUGCAAAAAUGCUCUGUGAUGUGUGGAUUUAUCUCACAGAGAUGAAGCUUUGUUUUGAUUCAACAUGUUGGAAACACUUUUUUUGUAGAAUCUACAAAGGGACAUUUCUGAGACCAUUAAAAACUACAGUAAAAAAAGGUAUAAUGCACCUUAAAAUCUAGAAACAAAGCUAUCUGUGAAAAUGCUUUGCAAUAUGUGGAUUCAUGUCACAGAUUUAAACCUUUGUUUUGAUUGAACAAAUUGGAAACACUGUUUUAGUAGAUUAUAUAAAGGGACAUUUCAAAGCCCAUUGAAGCCUAUAGUGAAAAAUCAAAAAUCCCGUGAGCAAAAAUAGAAACAACCUCUGUGGGAAAAUGCUGUGUGAUACGUUCAUUCAUCUCACAGGGAUAACCUUUGUUUUUAUUCAACACCUUGGAAACAUUCUUUUUGUAGAGUCUAUGAAAAAAAUUUCUGAGCCAAUUGAAGUCUGUAGUGAAAAAGCUAAUAUCCCAUUUUAAAAUAUAAAACAAACUAUGAAAAUGAGUUUUGAUGUGUGGAUUCAUCGAGAGUUAGACCUUUGUUCUAAAUCAACAGGUUAAGAACACUCUUUUUGUAGAAUCUAUGAAAAAACAUUUCUGAGCCCGUUGAGGCCUAUUGCGAAGUGAAUCUCUUGCAAUAAAAAGCAGAAACCAGCUCUCUGUGAAAUAAUUUUGUGAUGUACAAAUUUAUCUUGCAGAGUUAAAACUUUGUUUUAAUUCAACAAGUUGAAACCUUCUUUUUGUAGAAUCUGCAAAGAGACAUUUCUGAGCCCAUUGAGGCCAAUAGCAAAAAAAUGAAUAUCCCACAAUAAAAACUAGAAACAAAACAGCUGUGUAAAUGCUUUGCAAUAUGUGGAUUCGUCUCACUGAGUUAAACCUAUGUUUUGAUUCAACAAGUUAAAAAACUUGUUUUUGUAGUAUCUUCGAAGGGACAAUUCUGAGCCUAUGGAGAUUAUAGCAAAAAACUGAAUAUCCUGCAAUAAAAACUAGAAACAAGAUAUCCGUGGAAAUGCUUUGAGAUGUGUAGAUUUAUUUCACAGAAUUAAACCUUUGUUUUGAUUUAACAGGUUGGAACCACUCUAUUUUAAGAAUCUAUGAAGAAAUAUCUUUGUCCCUAUUGUACACUAUAGUGGACAACUGAAUACUUCAUGACAAAAACUAGAAACAAGCUAGCUGUGAAAAUGCUUUGCAAUGGGUGAAUUCAUCUCACUCAGUUAAACCUUCGUUUUGAUUCAACAAGGGUGAAACACUCUUUUGGUAGAAUCUACAAAGAAACAUUUAUGAGCCCCUUGAGGACUAUAGUGAAAAAAUGAAUCUCCUGCAUUAAUAUCUAGAAACAAUCUAUUUGUGAAAAUGCUGUGUGAUGCAUGGAUCCAUCUCACAGAUUUCAAACUUUAUUUUGAUUCAACAGGCUGGAAACACUCUUGUUAUAGAAGCUACGAAGGGUCAUUUCUGAACCCAUUGAGGCCAAUAGUGAAAAACUAAAUAUCCUGCAAUAAACCUAGAAAAAAUCUAUCUGCGAAAAUACUUUGUGUAGUGUGGAUGAGUGUCUCAGGGUUAAACAUUUGUUUUUAUUCACCAGGUUCGAAACACUCUUUUUGUUGAACAGACAAAGGGACAUUUCUUAGCCCAGUUAGGCCUAUAAAGGUAAACCGAAUAUCCCGUGAUACAUAGUAGAAACAAGCUAUCUGCAAAAAUGCUUUGUGAAUUGUAGAUUCAUCUCACAGAAUUAAGCCUUUGUUUUAAUUCAACAGGUUAAAAACACUAUUUUUGUAGACUCUACGAAGAAACAUUUCUGAAACCAUUGAAACCUAUGGGGGAAAAAAACCCCCGAAAUUCCUGUGAUAAGAAAUGGAAAGCAGCUAUCUGUGAAAAUGCUUUGUAAUGUGUGGAUUCUUCUCACAGAGUUAAACCUUUGUUCUGAUUCAACAUUGUUCAGAACACUCUUUUUGUAGAAUCUACAGAGAUACUUUUUAGCAUUUUGAGGCCUCUAGUGAAAAACCGAAUGUCCUGCAAUAGAAACUGGAAACAACCUUCUGUGAAAAUGCUUUGUGAUUCGUCUAUUCAUCUCAAAGAAUGAAACUUGUGCUUUGAUUCAACAGGUUGGAAAACCCUUUUUGUAGAAUCUACGUAGGAACAUUUCUGAGCCCAUUGAGGCCUCUAGUGAAAAAACUGAAUAUCCCAGAAUUAAAACUAUAAACAAGCUAUCUGUGAAGAAGCUUUGUAAUAUGUGCAUUCAUCUAACAGAUAUAAGCGUGUAUUUUGAUUUGCCUGGUUGGGAACACUCUUUUUGUACAGUCUAUAAAGAAACAUUUCUGAGUGCAUUGAGUCAUAUGUUGAAAAAUCGAAUAUCUCGUGAUAAAAACUAGGCAGGAGGUAUCUGUGAAAAUGCUUUGAGAUGUGUGGGUAUUGGCCUCACAGAGUUAAACUUUUGUUUUGAUUCAACAGUUUGGAAACAUACUUUGUAGAAUCUACAAUGACAUAUUUCUGAGCCCAUUGAGGCCUGUAGUGAAAAACCGAAUAUCCCAUGAUAAAAACUCAAAACAAGCGAUAUGUGAAAAUGCUUUGUGACGUGUGGUUCAUCUCAUAGAGUUAAACCUGGUUUUGAUCCACUACAUUGGAAACACUCUUAUUGUAGAAUCUACAAAAAAAAAUUUCUGAGACCAUUGAGGUCUCUAGUGAAAAACUGAAUAUCCCAUGAUAAAAACUAGAUACAAGCUAUCUGUGAAAAUGCUUUGCAAUGUGUGGAUUUGUCUCACAAAGUUAAACCUGUGUUUGAUUCAACGGGUUGGAAACACUUUUUUUGUAGAAUCUAUGAAGAAACAUUUCUGAGACCAUUGAAGCCUAUAGUAAAAAAUUGAAUAUCCUGUGAUAUAAAUGAGAAACAAGUUAUCUACGAAAAUGUAUAUUAAUCUCACUGAAUGCAACCUGUGUUUUACUUCACCAGGUUAAAGAUGCUCUGUUGGUAAAAUCUGUGAAGGGACAUUUCUGAGCACAUUGAGGCCUAUAGUGAAAAAACGAAUAUCCUGCUAUAAAAACUAGAAACAAGCUAUGUGUGAAAAUGCUUUGCAAUGUGUGGAUUCACCUCACAGAUUUAAACCUUUGUUUUGUUUCAACAGGUUGGAAACACUCUUUUUGUAGUUGAACGAAGGGACAUUUUUGAGUCCCUUGAGGCCUAUAGUAAUGAACAGAAUAUCCUGCAAUAAAAAUUAGAA